This is a long non-coding RNA of Felis catus (domestic cat), 1371 nucleotides long. RefSeq lists it as uncharacterized. Lineage: Eukaryota; Metazoa; Chordata; Mammalia; Carnivora; Felidae. The transcript has 6 exons. The record is from RefSeq and is a predicted model, not a curated record.
GCUCAAACUUACAAACUGAGAUCAUGACCUGAGCUGAAGUUAGAUGCUUAGCCAACUGUGCCAUCCAGGCAUCCCUACUCUCCCCUUUCCAAGAUCCUUAACUUAAUCACAUCUACAAGGUCCCUACUGCCAUACAAGAAUUUUUGGGGUCCAAAUUCUACACUCCUGAUUUAAGAUCUCCAAGUUUAAGACGCGUCUUUAUGGUUUCCAUGAGCAUAGAUGGAUGAUGCAUCUAAAUCUGUAAAGCCAAAGGGUUUACAUUUUGGGGGAAAACCUACUAGUUUAAGGAAACAAAUGAAAGACCUUCUGGUUUGAAUAUUUAUUUUAAUGAGAAGAAAGCCCAUUUGGAUGAGAAAGGUGAAGAAAAAGCAAGUUUAUGCUCCCCUGAUGUGCUCUAUGAUCACGUCUGUCUUACCCAGCUCUAAUUUUCUUUGAUUUUAACUCAUCUGUAUGACCAGACAUCUCCAUUUACUGAACACUGCUUUCAUGCUGCACGCUCUGUUUACAUUACCUGGAAACUUGACAGUUGUCAGUGGGGCUUUAUGUUCCCCAUUUGCUUCCGGCUAUUAAAAUGUUACACAAAACACCAGGCUAAAAAAGACAGAUUUCCAAGGAGCUGAGCUGUAAAUUCUUGACAUAUUAUUUGAUGAAGAGAUACACUUGACGGCUGAUACUCUCAUGACCAACAUGUUCGCAUGGAGUUACACUGGAGGACUUUCAAUACCCCUGCAAGUUCACUGUUUCCUGGUCACUCAUGAAUUCAUGAGUGGAGGGAGAGAAAGAAUCCCAAGCAGGCUCUGUGCUGCCAUUGUGGAGCCUAAAUGGCCUAAAUGGCAGUGAAUUACUAUUAGAGUUAUAACUACAAACAACUUUAUUUAAACACUUUUUUGUGAAGUAAUUUAUUUUGGGAAAGCAAUGCUUAAAUAUCAUCAGCAACCAAUCAGUUUACAUUCCCCUCUCGGCCUGCCAGUACCUUACCCACAGUGGAGCGUUGUGGCUCUGAUGAUAUCUAUGGAUGUAGACCUGAACUCAACACUGAAAACUCAGAGAUUGGUCACCUGGCUAUCUUUGCACACCUCUUUUAUAGAAUAUGCUGUUGUGAAAGUAGUAAUGGUUCAAGUUAGGAAACUAGAGAAGAGAGAAGUCCAGUUCCUAGACUUCUUGGUGACACCGGUAAAAUAACAAAAGAAUAUUGACACUUGUUAUGCUCUUGCUUUUGUUUAUACUAAGACUUUCAACUCUCAAAAUGAAAGAAUGUGGAUCUUAUCAACCUAGAGGAGUCUAAAGAUGCUAUGGACUUGAUUGGUAAAAACAAAUAAAAGCAACGAGAAAAAAAUGGUUCCCCAUUAAAAUGAAACCCUGAUUACUGAA